This 393-nucleotide ribosomal RNA is filed under the name uncultured bacterium. RNAcentral describes it as "partial 16S ribosomal RNA". It matches the Rfam family "Bacterial small subunit ribosomal RNA", at positions 523 to 918 of the family's 1533-position model. The record is from RNAcentral.
AUACGUAGGAUGCGAGCGUUAUCCGGAUUUAUUGGGUUUAAAGGGUGCGUAGGCUGUGCGUUAAGUCAGGGGUGAAAUGCCGUCGCUCAACGACGGAGCUGCCCUUGAUACUGGCGUGCUGGAGUACGGAUGCCGUUGGAGGAAUGAGUGGUGUAGCGGUGAAAUGCUUAGAUAUCACUCAGAACACCGAUUGCGAAGGCAUCUGACGAAUCCGUCACUGACGCUGAGGCACGAAAGCGUGGGGAUAGAACAGGAUUAGAUACCCUGGUAUUCCACGCCGUAAACGAUGAUGACUAACCGUCGGCGAUAGACAGCCGGUGGCCAAGCGAAAGCGAUAAGUCAUCCACCUGGGGAGUACGUCGGCAACGAUGAAACUUAAAGGAAUUGACGGGG